This is a long non-coding RNA of Triplophysa dalaica, 380 nucleotides long. RefSeq lists it as uncharacterized. The record is from RefSeq and is a predicted model, not a curated record. The transcript has 3 exons. NCBI's taxonomy places the organism in Eukaryota, Metazoa, Chordata, Actinopteri, Cypriniformes, Nemacheilidae.
GACGAAUUCAAUCAAUGUUUAGAUCGCUUCGACUCCGUGACAUGAAGGAAUACAAAGUGUUCACUGCGGACUCAGAAUUCGACCCGCUUGAGUGGGAAAAUUCUUCAAAGUUCAGGACACACUUGCAGGCCACUGGAUGCUGACUACUGAAGGUUAGGUUGUGUGUGACGGUGCUCAGCACAGCUUCAUGUCUGGGCUUCCCACUCUGUUCAUAGCAUGUUACAUAUUCAAUCUUGAGUACCAGGAUGGGGUAGCGUGUAUCUUGAAGUCCACUGAAAGAUAUUAAUCCAGAGAGUGUAACAAGAAGAAGCGUCAUCUAAAAUGCCAGGAUACAGAAGAAACAGGUUGCAGUGAACCCACAUGUUGCCGCUCUUCUAAAC